UUGAGCCGUGUACUGGGAAACUUGUACGCACGGUUCUUAGGCGGGAAAGAGAAAGCAAUUUCUCCGACCUAGCGGAU
Molecule: non-coding RNA, 77 nt
Organism: Cyanothece sp.
Lineage: Bacteria; Bacillati; Cyanobacteriota; Cyanophyceae; Gomontiellales; Cyanothecaceae
Source: Rfam